RNAcentral lists this transfer-messenger RNA (368 nucleotides) under Sphingosinicella sp. It matches the Rfam family "Alphaproteobacteria transfer-messenger RNA". From Rfam's summary of the family: Bacterial tmRNA, also known as 10Sa RNA or SsrA, is named for its dual tRNA and mRNA-like properties. Its role is to liberate the mRNA from a stalled ribosome. The record is from RNAcentral. Lineage: Bacteria; Pseudomonadati; Pseudomonadota; Alphaproteobacteria; Sphingomonadales; Sphingosinicellaceae.
UCACUUCACAUUAAGGCGCCAAUCCCUAUAUAGGGAGGGCCGGGUUCGCCCGGCUAUGGCGAUAAAUUGCGGCGUGCAAUAGACGCAGCGGACCCGGGGGCGGUACCCGGCAGCUCCACCAAUUGCGCCGCUUGGGCCUUAUGUUCGCAUAAGGUCCGGCGGCUCAGCUGAAGGGGCUGAACUAGGAUCGACGUGUGUUCAAAAGCGCAGUUUUUGCCCGGCCUGAAUGCGCCGUAAAAACGUUCAAAACCAUAAGUGCCAACGAUAAUGAGGCUCUUGCGAUUGCUGCGUAACCCGGUCCUCACGGACUAGGUUAUACCAGACAAAAGCGCGGUUCGGACCCCACCGGGCAACAGAAGGGGAAACCA